AAAUGGGCUUGUCUACCCACUUCCUUCCCCAUUUCUCAAUUGCUUCAAAAAAAAGGAGAGAGAGAGUUAUAAAACUCUCUUAACUCCCCUCGUCAGCGUCAACCACGGCAGCUCACGGUGGCAACCGUGGCAGUGCACGACGGCCGGAGUAAACCCAAACCCUCAAAACCUUCCUUUCUUAACCCCCAACCCGAUUCCUAACUCACUUUUCCCUAAAACUUCUCCUAGAAUCCAAAAUCUAGGUUUACACCUUUCGGGAAAACGAAGAUCCGGUGACCUCUUUUCGCCUCCGACAAACAUGGUAUUUGUGGGAAUCAUCGACGGCGGCUCGAUGGCUCGGCAGCGGCUCAUACGUCGGUGGGAGCAAAAGUGUCAAGCGGUGGCUAAGCUGAUGGCUUGAUAUAUUAGGGUUAACCCUAAUCUGGAAAUACAUCUUGGACCGUUAAUUGGCAUCAGAUCCAAUGAUGGAAAGCUGGAGGUGGCUAGGGCUUGAGAUGAAAACACUAACGGGUUUGAGUGUGGUGUUCGGUCGGUUCGGGUCUAGUCUGAAUCAGUUAUGGGAAUGAACCAGGUUGUAGCUGGGUUUCUGCUUGUAAUUGGGUCUGAAUAGGCCUGAAAAUUUGUAGACAAAAUAAUAAAAUAAUAAUAAUAA
Long non-coding RNA from Hibiscus syriacus, 652 nucleotides. RefSeq lists it as uncharacterized. NCBI's taxonomy places the organism in Eukaryota, Viridiplantae, Streptophyta, Magnoliopsida, Malvales, Malvaceae. The record is from RefSeq and is a predicted model, not a curated record. The transcript is spliced from 2 exons.